Long non-coding RNA from Carassius auratus (goldfish), 2082 nucleotides. RefSeq lists it as uncharacterized. The record is from RefSeq and is a predicted model, not a curated record. The transcript is spliced from 3 exons. Lineage: Eukaryota; Metazoa; Chordata; Actinopteri; Cypriniformes; Cyprinidae.
AUUACUUUGUUGGAACAGCAGCUAUGUGUUUGAAUUCACAGCGCUGAUUGACUCUGGUUCAGCAUUAAACCUAAUUCAUCAAGACCUCCUUACAACAUUCAACAUUCCCGUACUAGAAUGUGAUCCUCCUAUCAAGGUGAACGCUGUAAACAACAAACCCAUUGGAAGUGGAAUAACUCAACAAACUCAACUCAUGAAGAUGCAACUAGGCCUAUUUCACAGAGAAACCAUCACAUUCUAUGUCAUUGACUCUACAUGUCAUGAAAUCAUGCUUGGAGACCCCUGGUUAUCUUUUCACGACCCAGUCAUCUCUCAGAAUAGGUGCAGUGCUCUUCCAACGCCAAGGACAACCAGGCAAGCUUUUUCCCUGUGCUUACUUUUCUAGAAAACUCACGGAUGCUGAGCAUAAUUAUGAUGUCAGACACAAGGAGCUACUGGCUGUGAAGGCGGUCAUUGAAGAAUGGAGGCACUGGUUGGAGGGUUCCACUCACCCCUUCCAGGUUCCACCGUGACCUACCGUCCUGGCAGUAAAAAUAGCAAGGCAGACGCUCUUUCCAGGAGACAUGACCAUCCACUGACAGAUCACCAACCUGAAUCUAUCCUGCCACCGUCUGUCAUCAUAGCACCAGUCACUGGGGACUUUAUAGAUGAAAUUCAGAGAGAACAACGCAACAAACCCGCACGUCAGGGUUGUCCCGCUAACAAACAAUAUGUUCCUUCCAGGCUUCGACUGCGUGUCAUGCAGUGGGUCCACACCUCACUUUGUUCCGGGCAUCCAGGUAUCUCACGCACACUACAUCUCACGCAAAAUUCCUUCUGGUGGCCAUCUAUGGUUAAAGAUGUAACAAAUUACGUUAAGUAAUUCCCAAAUAACUUCCAUCUGGUCUGUUACAACCAUUGCCCAUACCCCAUAGACCUUGGUCACACCUAUCAGUAGAUUUUGUCACCGGUCUACCCACAUCUGACCACUUUACCACAAUCCUAGUAAUUACUGACCGCUUCUCCAAGGCUUUUAGGCUCAUACCCCUGAAAGGUCUUCCCACAGCGAUGGAUACUGCUCAAGCGAUGUUCCACAACGUCUUCAGGAUUUACAGUAUCCCCGAAGACAUUGUUUCAGACUGAGGAACCCAGCUCACGUCCCAGGUAUGGAAAGCAUUCUGUAAACAAUUGGACAUUAAUCUCAGUUUAACUUCAGGUUACCACCCGCAAUCGAACGGGCAAGUGGAGAUACCUCAGGUCAUACUGUGGAUGUGAACAGCAUCGCUGGUCAGAGUUCCUUCCAUGGGCAGAAUACAGGCAAAACUCAUUGAGGCAUUCAUCUACUCCAAUGCGUGCUAGGAUACCAAACCCCCAUGUUCCCGUGGUCAGGUGAACCAUCACUAGUACCUGCAGUCAACGACUGGAUUCGCCGUAGCGAGAGGGUGUGGGACAUCGCUCAUGUAUGUCUGCAAAGAGCUGUCAGGAAUCAGGAGAUUCAAGCUAAUCGACGACGUCGCCCACAUCCUCCCCACCAACCUGGACAAAGGUCUGGCUCUCCACAUGGACCUCAAGUUACGGCUGCCCAGCAGGAAGCUCAGCCCAUGGAGCCACCUCCACCGCUGGACAUUGAUGGAACCCCGGCAUAUGAGCUAAAGGAGUUGUUGGACUCCCGACGGAGAGAGGGUCAGCUCCAAUACUUGGUGGACUGGGAGGGAUACGGACCAGAGGAGAGAUCAUGGGUAGCUGCCCACGACAUCCUGGAUCCCUCAUUGACUGAGGAAUUUCAUUGAGCUAGACCCGAUCGUCCAGCACCGCGACUACGGGAAGUCCUCGCAGAGCAGGGGAUUCUGUAAUGCCACGCCAGCAGAGGGAGCCCUUCCCUGAGUUCUGACUGUGUGCUGCUCCCUCUGCAUCACCUGUUAUUUCCUGUUUGGUGGACAUUGAAGCAUAUCUUUAGCCACUGUUACUUCGCAGAGUAUUCCCAGCCUGACACUCUUACCGAACGUUAUUCCCAUUGCUACACACGUUUGUUUUUGUGUAAAGUGUGUUCAUCCCAUAGGUGUAAUGGUUUUUAUUCUGUACAAACUGUAUAUUCUAUGGUCC